RNAcentral lists this ribosomal RNA (1315 nucleotides) under Caliris sp. JZ-2017. Its description in RNAcentral is "16S ribosomal RNA". The stretch from base 614 to 1315 matches the Rfam family "Archaeal large subunit ribosomal RNA", at positions 1423 to 2852 of the family's 2987-position model. The record is from RNAcentral. Lineage: Eukaryota; Metazoa; Arthropoda; Insecta; Mantodea; Haaniidae.
AAAUUAAUUAGAUUGUAUUUGUAAAAACUAAAUUGUGUAGAAUAUAUAAUAUAAAUAAAUUUUAAUUAUUGUAAUAAAUAACUUGAUUAAAUUAAUUUUACUAUAGUGUAUUAGUACUGUGAAGGUAUGUUUAUGUAAUUUAUAAAAGGAGAUUUGAAUAAUUGUUUCUUGUGUAUCAGAAUAUAUUAAAAUUGAAGAUAUAUAAUUGUUUCUCGAAUUUUAAAGAUUUAAUUAAAUAAAUUUUUUGUUGUAGUAUAAACAUUUAAAAUUUUUAAUUGGUAAUGAAAUGUUAACGUUUUAGAGGAUAUCUAGUUUUUUAAUAAAUGAAUUUAAUUCAUAGGAAAUAAAAUUAUACAUAUCUGUUUAGAAAUUAUAUAUUUUUUUCUUAAUUUCUUAAGGGAAAAGCUUUAAUGAAAUAGAAUUAUAAUAAAGAUAAUAAUUAUGAAAAUUUUGUAAAUUUAGAAUUUGUUAAUAUUAAAAGUAUGUAAAAAUUUAAUUUUUGUUUAAUUUAAUUUUAAAUUAAUUUAAUUUUUUUAUUAAAAUAUAUGAUUUAAUUAUUUUAUUUUAGGGAUUAUGGUUUAAUUAGUAAUUAAAAUUGUAUUGUAUAAUAUAAUAAAUUAUAUAAUUUAUUAUAAAGAAUUAGGCAAAUUUGUUUACUCGCCUGUUUAUUAAAAACAUGGUUUCUUGGAAUAUGUAAAUAAGAGAUUUAACCUGCCCACUGAAAUUAAUUUAAAGGGCCGCAGUAAAUUGACUGUGCAAAGGUAGCAUAAUCAUUAGUCUUUUAAUUGAAGGCUUGUAUGAAAGGUUGGACGAGGUAAAUUCUGUUUUAUUAUAAAUUAGUGAAUUUAGAAAUUAAGUAAAAAUACUUAAAUAUUGUUAAGGGACGAGAAGACCCUAUAGAGUUUAAUAAUUAAAUUUUUAAUUAUGUUUUUUAAUAAUUUUUAAUUAUUUAAAAAAUUAUUUAAUUGGGGUGAUUAGAAGAUAGAUUUAACUCUUCUUUAUAAUAAAUUAUUUUUAUUAGAUAAAGGAUCCAUAAUUAGUGAUUAUAAGAUUAAAUUACCUUAGGGAUAACAGCAUAAUUUUUUUUGAGAGUUCAUAUCAAGAAGAAAGAUUAUGACCUCGAUGUUGGAUUAAGAAAAUUUAUAGGUGAAGAAGUUUAAAAAAUAGGUCUGUUCGACCCUUAAAUUCUUACAUGAUCUGAGUUUAAACCGGCGUGAGCCAGGUUGGUUUCUAUCUUUAAUAGAAUGUAAUAUUUUAGUACGAGAGGACCAAAUAUUGAAAAUAAAUUUUGUUUUAAGAUUAAAAUUAAUAUAAA